Molecule: long non-coding RNA, 4196 nt
Filed under: Homo sapiens (human)
Lineage: Eukaryota; Metazoa; Chordata; Mammalia; Primates; Hominidae
Description: HSALNT0155934
Source: RNAcentral
CAAAUAUUCAAGAGAUAAAAAAUACAGGUGGCCAGGCACGGUAACUCAUGCCUGUAAUCUCAGCACUUUGGGAGGCUAAGGUGGGAGGAUUGCUUGAGGCCAGGAGUUUGAGACCAGCCUGGGCAACAAAGUGAGAACCUGUCUCUCUAUAAAAACAAAUCAACAAACAAAAACACAAAAAAUAUGAAACCUCCCCCUAAAGCCUCCUCCUCCUCUUCUUCCUCUUGGGGCUCCUGAGUAUUGGCCUUAUCCCCUUCCUCUCUCCCCAGCACCCCGCCAUAUCCAGUCACCAGCAUCUAAUGAUUCUGCCCGCAGCACACCUGGACUCUCCACCAUCCUCGCCCUGCCUGGUCACCUACAUCGGCGGGAAUGGCAGCCGCCUUCUCUCUGCCCUUCCUGCCUCCAGGCCACACACACAGUGCAGUCAGAGGAGUCUUUCUAACACAUAAGCUGGGCCACGUCCCCCUCUCCAUUGUCAUGCCUCCCGCUGCCCUCUGGAUAAAGUCCUAAAUCCCCGCCACAGCCUGAAUGACCCUUCCCAGGCUGGCCCAUGUCCACUCCUCUGGGCUCCAGGUUCAUCCCUCUAAGACAUGAGAGCCAUCCAGUUCAUUGCCGUCCACACUGCGUCUCUGAAUCCACAGUCCUGGCUCCUGCCCCUGGGCCAUCUUGGCUAACAGCCUAGAAGAGUCCCGAGUCUUCAACUGCCUGGUCAGACCCCCACAUCAUCCCGUCCCCGUGAGCUGGGAACCAAGUCCGUGUCCUCCACACCACGUCCAACACCUGACUGGCCCUGGGGCAACAAAAAAUCUUGCACUGGCUGCCUGAAUAUUAGAGUUUACCCCCCAGGCCCUCCCUCCCUGGGUCUGACCGUUCCCGUUUGCUGUUUGUGCCUUAAACCAAAGCCAACUGCUUGGCCUCUUCUCUGCCUACAAAACAUUUUUACCGAUUUUAUGGCUGCGAAAAUUUCCUUCCUGUCUUCACAUUCACAGGAAAGAGAGAGCCCUGGCCCUGACUCAGAAUUGGAUUGUAGCUGGAGGCGUCCUCUCCAAGCCGGCUCCAGAGAAAGGGUUUAUCUGUUUGUUCCUUGACCUUGAGCAGCCACUGAGGCAGCCAGAAAGAGGAGAGGCAGGAGCUGGGAGGAGAGCGAGGAGCAAAGCUGGGGACCCUGCGCUCUGCCCCGAGGGACCCACCAGCCAGGAUGCAGCAGAAGCGACGCUGUGUGACUUCCGAGGCUGAGGCUGCAGAGAUUUGAGGCAUCUGCUCUCACCCAGCUUGAAGUGCUUCCUCUUGGAAGCCAGCCACCGUGAAAAACCCCGCCAUGCUGUGAGGAAGCCCAAGAGAGCUGCAUGGAGAGAAGGGCCUGUGGAAGAGCCCUGAGGUGCCACUCACAUGAAGUGAACCUUUGUGGACCUUCCAGCCCAGCUACCAGCAAAACGCAAGCAGCGAGUCUCCAGGCCCAGCCUGCUUUUAACAAGACAGUGAAGAGUGGCAGUUAAAGGUCUGGCUGGCAUCAGACAGUGCUGAAUUCAAACACCAGCUGAGCUGAAAACGGCCUGACUGGGUGACCUUGAGCAAGCAGCCUGCCCUCUCUGAGGCUCAGUUUAUUUUCUGGAAGGGAGAAGACGGUGUCUACUUCCAAUGACCGCCAUGAUGUUUCAGGUUCAGCCCGAAGGGUGAGCAGCCAAUAAAGAGUGCCGAGAACGGCCUCUGGCCUGCCAGGUAGAGAAAUGACCUGAUUCCUUCCAGAAGUUUCCAGUGUUCCCAAGCUGAUGAGGCUCCUGGGAGAUGCCUCCAGAUCUCUUAACGUUCAGGGAAGCAUGGGCUCUGGUUGCAUUAGGGAGGAUUUAUUUUAUUUUUAAAGGAGUUGAGGCCACUUUGCAAUCAGAGCCUUCGUGGCUGGAGCUGGGCGAGCUGAGGAAGGAGUAUUAAUCAAGGCGCUUUAAGGACAUGCAAAUCAGGAGAAAGCUCAAGUGAUUAGGGUGUGAUGGGGCCUGGAGUCCAGCCUAUAUCCCCAUCUGAGAAGAGAGAGCCAGAGUGCCAGGCAAGGUGGCUCAGGCCCAGCUGGGGGCGGCAGCCAAGGGGCUGCCAUGGGGCCAGGAACUGUGGGUUGGGAGCAAUUGGAGGCAGAGGGAAGGGAGCCACUCCAAGGUGGCUGAAGGGUCCCUGAUGCCUGCGCUGUCCACAUGGUACUCUGGCUGGCUUCCCCGCCUCCCCCACAGCUGCAGAGGGGCUGCUCUGGCAUGAUCCCCUGCCUGGCUGGGACAGGCCCCUCUUCCUAAGGAUACAGAAUGGUUAUUUGGGUGAGAGGGGCCCACCGGCGCUGCUGGGGGCGGGAUGGCGAAUGUGACGUCAGCGAUCUGCGGUAUCUUCAGGGUGACAGCCGUACCCCCCGCGUGGGACCCAGGGCUCCACAUCUAUAGACCUGACCCAAGGAAAGACUCAGGCCUGUGCACAAGGAUGCCAUCUCGGGGACUGCGUAUUCAUAAGAAGCUGAAUCAAACAGUGUCCAACAAGGGGGGUUGUUCGAGCUGGUUAUGGGACGUGUUUACCACGGACGUUCAGGUCCUCCUGAGAAAUGACGACCUAGACAUGGGAAGAUGGUUGCAAUGUAUUGUUCCGCAAAGGAGAAAAAAAGCAGGUUGCAAAACCCUGGGAACUGUCUGCCCACCUUCAAAAAGUCGGUCAUAUAUCUAGAAAAAUCUGGAAGGGUAGCCACAAAAACAUCAUCAGUAGGUACUUUGGAGAGGUUAUUGUUACUUUCCCCUUUUAUGUUAAUUUUUGUGCAAUAAACAUAUAUGUAUUUGUAAUCAAUAAAGCCAUCUUCUUUUCUCUUUUUAAGAAACUGUUCUCUUGCUUGGCCUCAUACCUCCCCCAAUCUCCUUAAUACUAAAUAAAAGAUCCCAGUGGACCCUGAGAGGGACACCCCCGCAGCCCUCUCAGGAGUCCCCUUGCUAGCACAAAGCAGGUCUCCACCACCCAAGAGGCAGGCAGACCAGGUAUGGGGGUCAUUGACAGACCCUCACCCUGCCCCAUGCAUUUUUUGGAUGAUACAGAAAAAAAAAAAAAAACAGGUACGCAGUGAUCAUUCCAUACAAGAUAUUGGUAUAGGUCCUAUGUGGGUCCAGAUUUCUUCUCCUAAGCCUCUGAGCCAGAGGCAUUAGGGACUCAGUGUGUUCCGUGUAGAGGUGUAAAACGAUACCUAUAGCAUAGAUUAGGUAACACCUUAAGCAGGGCUGGGGCAGUCCCCAUAAUCAAACAUGUUAAUAGCUCUGCAGUGAAAUGUACAAAUGUUCACAUCAAGGGGAAUAAAUAAAACUAUAAAUAGCUUCCUGUCAGCUGAGGUCAGGUUUUGCCUCCAGAUGAAUUUACCACCAUCUUAACAAAAGGACUUCGGUUUUUCAGACUUUUUGUUAAUUGCAGAAUUCCAGUUAGGGGAUGGGGACCAGACGAGGAUCGGGGCUCUCAGGCGCGUUGGUUUGGCUGUCUCCCUGCAGGGUCUCCCCGGCAGCGGGGCUGGCUCUGUGGUAGAGCCACUUCCACAGUCACCCAGGGCCCCGUACAUGGCUGACUGUUCUGUCGUCACCAUCUUGAAAUUCUCAAUAAUUGUAAUUUUACCGCCCCGAAUUUUCCUUUUACACAGGGCCCGGCAAAUCGCGUAGCCAGUCCUGCCAGCAUCCAGAGCAAAGCCCAGCACAAGGACCAGGAGUGGGGGCGUUCCCGAGAAGCCAACAUGCAGGAGACAACAGCGACGGUGAUUUCCAAAGCUGAGGACAUGGAGCUGAGCCAACCAGGGGUCCAUUCCUCCCCUGAGAAAUAGACUCUCCCCUUCGCAAUCGGAGCCUGUGAUCCACGGAUCACAACGGGAGCAAUGUGUGAGGCAAGGGCAGCGACGUUGAGGGGCUUCUCAAAGCUGCAGGAAAAGUCCUCAAGAUUCUAGAAUGUUCGGCAUUGCAGAUGCUCCGGGAUGAGUCAAGAAUACUAAGAGGGAAGGAUGUCCCGAGCCCUGCUUUGGGAAAUGCAGAAUCAGAUGAGGCCUUCAGGCAGCUGGUACCCAUGGCUGUAGGUCGUGUCUCCGUUCUGCCCCAAAGGCAGGCUCAACCUCUCCGAGGGUUCUCAGAUGCUGUGGCCACCGGUGGCUGCAGGGCCUUCCUGCUAAGACCAUCCCAGGCGCCGGACACUGGGCAGGCUGAAAGCUG